Molecule: transfer RNA, 72 nt
Filed under: Ictidomys tridecemlineatus (thirteen-lined ground squirrel)
Lineage: Eukaryota; Metazoa; Chordata; Mammalia; Rodentia; Sciuridae
Also listed under: 1 other name
Description: Spermophilus tridecemlineatus (thirteen-lined ground squirrel) tRNA
Rfam family: tRNA
About the family: Transfer RNA (tRNA) molecules are approximately 80 nucleotides in length. Their secondary structure includes four short double-helical elements and three loops (D, anti-codon, and T loops).
Source: Rfam by way of RNAcentral
UGGGAUGUAGCUCAGUGGUAGAGUGUAUGCUUAGCGUGUGCAAGGUCCUGGGUUCCAUUCCCGGCACCUCAC